AGAGUUUGAUCCUGGCUCAGCCUGAACGCUGGCGGCGUGGCUAAGACAUGCAAGUCGAACGGGGCCCGCAAGGGUCCAGUGGCGGACGGGUGAGUAAUGUAUCGCUAACGUACCCUAGAGUCAGGGAUAGCUGUCCGAAAGGGCAGGUAAUACCUGAUGAUAUGUUCCUAUCGCAUGACAGGAACCUCAAAGGAGCAAUCCGUUCUGGGAGCGGGCGAUAUCGUAUCAGCUAGUUGGUGAGGUAACGGCUCACCAAGGCGACGACGCGUAGCCGGGCUGAGAGGUCGGCCGGCCACAUUGGGACUGAGACACUGCCCAGACUCCUACGGGGGGCUGCAGUAACGAAUCUUCCGCAAUGCACGAAAGUGUGACGGAGCGACGCCGCGUGUAGGAGAAGCCCUUCGGGGUGUAAACUACUGUCAGGGGUUACCAAGUUCUGAGGAGCCCCAGAGGAAGGCACGGCUAACUCUGUGCCAGCCGCCGCGGUAAUAC
This 492-nucleotide ribosomal RNA is filed under the name uncultured bacterium. RNAcentral's name for it is "bacterial SSU rRNA". It matches the Rfam family "Bacterial small subunit ribosomal RNA", at positions 8 to 526 of the family's 1533-position model. The record is from RNAcentral.